This is a long non-coding RNA of Ictalurus punctatus (channel catfish), 4988 nucleotides long. NCBI's taxonomy places the organism in Eukaryota, Metazoa, Chordata, Actinopteri, Siluriformes, Ictaluridae. The record is from Ensembl.
AGGUUUCGUCACUGCCCUUCACAACCCCCUCCCGUGUUACUCGGGGUCCGAUGUUGCGUCCUCGGUCGAAGAUAAGAGACAGCGCUAAUCCUCACGGGGACAAAAAAAGGACACACAGAUCAGUGGGACGUAACUGAUAGCGCUGGACGUCAGACGCGCUGUCCUCACCAGGCCUAUCGGCGCGUGAACAGGAGACGAGACGAUCUGUUCCCUUUUUACUGGAGCUUUGCGGCACAAGAUAAAUCAGCCAGCCUCGGCCUCGGCCUGGUAAACACUCACAGCUCUCGAGUUAUCAGAGACGAAUAGAAGGAACGUUAUCCUGCAAAGGGAAUUCCCCUGGUGUUUAGUAAGAUCAGUGCAGCGCGUGGAGCUCUGAACUCGGCUAAUGGGAUCCUAGCUUAGGCACUCGAGGAGGAGAAGAAGAAAAGAUGAUGCGUUACGUCUAAAGGAACGGUGUGAAGAUGACACAAAAGAUUUCACAUCACAGGCCUACUCAGAUGUAUUAUUUUUUAAAUUCACACUGCAUAUUAGUCUUGUAAAUCACAAAUGAGUGUUAUCAGUGUUUACAGUUUGUUUCCUGCUCCCUGUGACCCGAGAGAUUAUCUUCCCUUCUCUCAAGAUAAGCGCUAAUCAAUUGGUUAGAAAUGCAGAAAACGCAGGACAAAAGGUCGAUCUCGGCGGAAAAUACAGCGAGCUUGGCAUUUGAGGCACAUCUGCAGAAGACAGGCAUCACUCAUAAAGAGGAGGAUGAAGGGGAGGAAGAGUGAACGGACGUCCGCGGCAUGGGAAAAUCACGUGUGCUACAUUUCAGCAGAGACACACUGUACGUGGGAUCAUAAGAACUGUUCCAGCGCCGCUUUGGCGCCAAUAUGGAUUUAGAAGCCGUUUCAUUUGAGGCCCUACGGAGAAGAUUGAAACGUGUUCCCUCCUAAUGAGUUCUCUAGGAUUACGGUCUAAUCCGGACCACAGAUUUGAUUUAACAGAUCCGGCGCUGAGCGUAUCGGCCUCGCAGACACGCUAACAAGCCGAUCGCGUGACAGACAGCUAGCAGAGUGAUGGCUGAUUACCGGAAAUUUCUCCUCAGUCCUCACUCGCUGUGCUUACACAAGCUGACGCGAUUCGAGACGGAGAAAUAAGAAACAAUAAAACUCUUGUGUGUGAGGGAUAAACACGCCGCGUCGUGCUGUUGUAGGAAAACGAUCGACGACAGAGUUACAAGUUGAUUUAUUUUCACAUGGCAAAAAGUUUUGUUACUCUUAUUCUACAGCAAUUCGCCGACAGUGAAAAUGCUCUCUUUAUGAAAGAACAACAGGUGAUACUUUUUAUCUGUUUAUAGCUACAUUUAAUGUUACGUUAAUUCAUGUUCUCGAUUGUGUUAUAGUAGCUAUAAAUUGUUGUUCCCUCAUCAACCCGUUUGUUUUUUUUGCCUCUCUGGAAGCUCGUAUAUUGUAUGAACACCAAAAAAAAAAAAAAUCGCCACUUUCGUACAGAAUUUUUUUUUUUCAUGAUCGUUGCAGCGAAACAAUGUUUGAUUUUGCGGCGGCUUUUUUCUAAAUUUACUGUGCGACUUUUUUUCUUUUGGCUAGUUUUUUUUUUGUGUGUGUUUUUUUCUCGAAUUGGCAAAAUCGCAGUCGCACGGAAUUGUUCGGCACGGUCUUUCGCAGCGAUGUUUGUUGGUAAACGAGACCUUUUCACCGUACUCAAUUUCGACGCACGUGAAUCGGAGACGGUGUCGGCUGAACGCCCGUCGUGAUGAUGUCACGCGGCUCCGGAUAUCACAGGGUCCUGUGAAAGUCAUGCACGGACUGCCUGAAAACGUACCGACUGUUGCAAAGCCUUGACACUGGAGACUACUUCCGAGAAUGACACACUGCAUCGACAAUUCCACAUUUUGUUUUUGCUGUUACUAUGGAAACGAUAACAUAUUCAAACGAGCACACGGAUAUAUGGUAUAGCACUCCUGUCAGAGCUGCCGUUAGACAUCGGGUCAACCUUCCGACCAAUCAGAAUCCAAUAUAAAUAUAAGUACUGAGGUCACUGUAAUUGAGGUAAUUGUUGCUAAUGCUAUCCACCUCGUGGCUCUGUCAGGAGAGGCGGCGAUACGGCAGUGAUAAAGUUAGAACUAAACUUGUUUUAAAGGCGGGAAGCCGAAGCCGAGGCCGUAUCGCUCUGUGUAAUGGUGUUACCCGGGCUGGUUGUCUGCUGGGAGAGCGAUACGGCCUCCGUCGGAAAUGCUGAGGCGAAAAAAACUGCAGGGUCGACUGCACUCUGCGGCCAAAGGUUGCACCAAAGUUAAUUACUGUGCACCGAACUUAUUUUGUCGCCCUCGUGGGAUUUCCUAAGCUUGAAAAUAAAGCAGUGACUCGUGAAUUUGUGGCUUUUCCUUUUUCCCUACAAUCUCAGGCCACAAUAAAUGAGCGUGAGUAUAGGUUUGAGUUUCUCCCUCCUCUUCUCCUCUUUCAAAGCCGGCCAUUUUGUUUUACCUGCAAAGGUUUUGGGGUUUUUUUUUUUUUCCUCCUUUUUUCCGGUCUCUCCCUUCUUCCCUCCCCUGCCGCUAUCUAAUUAUUUUCCUUUUGUCUGAAGUAAAAGCUCUGCGGGUCAUUACCUUCCUCUUCCACUUUAACUCAGCCGUGGUCCUUAAAAAAAGCUCAGAGAGACGUUGGAGUGGGCUUCGAAAGACAAAAAAAAAAAAGAGGAUUAAGUCCGGUAGUUUUUGUAAAUCAUUGACACCUGAAAAGGACUUUUAAUCAGUCCGCACUCCCGGCUAAAGAAUUUUCUCAUUUUUGCGGCGCUAAUUUAGAGCUGGAUUUAAGCGUACCUCCGGGAUUAAUCAACCCGCCGGCCUUGGAGGAUUCUUUAUAUGAAUUUUUUUUUAAAAAGCCACGCUUAAGCGUUGCCCAUCGGAGAGACGGAAGCACACGAGUGUGAAAAGUGAUUUUCCUGAGGGACGGGAUACAAAUAUCCUUAUUUGCAUUUAGAAAAUCCAUCAACUUUAUGAAAUGUUUAGCGAGCGGCGCGGCGCUUGCACAGUUUCGCUUUUAAUAGGGACGACGGCUUAAGCGCCGCAUUACAUCUUUCUUCUCCUCUUGAAAUUGUCACUCUGUAAUCCCUUCAGUGAGGAGUAAUGCGGCGAGAUUACAGCCAUAACCCCAGAUUCCUCAGCGAGAUCGUUCAAGUGGAGACGGAGGAAGAUUCACGCAAACUUUAAUCGCCGCUGUUGACGGGGAACGUAUCGACAUCAGGAUGGUAACCGUAACGCCCGUCACUGAUCCAUUUCCUGUCACAGCAUGACACAGGGCGUUUUAUUUCUUAUAUACGUUACAUUUACUCCGAUCACCCUGCUCAAAAGUUUACACCCCCCACCCCCACCCCCCCCCAAACCCCGGUUCUUAAAGUGUCGCGUUGCCUUCUCGAGCAUCGGUGGACAUUCGCACCUUCCGUAAUAGUCGUGUACGAGUCCCUCGGUGUCCUCGGUGUGAAAAGACGGAUCUCGACAUCAUAUAGUCGCUGUUGGAAAUGGGUCGAAUACUGUAUGUAGAAGAUGCUGGAAAAGUAAAGAAUGUGCCGGACCUGGAGGAUCUUUCUGAAGAACAGUUUAACCGCUCAGGACGAACAAGUGACUCGUGACCGACUAUCGCACAGCGGUUGAUCAUCCAGGAAUUAAUCAAGGGUGUGUAAACUUUUGAACUGUUGAGUUGAAUGACAGACGUUUCUAUUAACGUUGUGAAAAAUCCAUCGUCUGAUUUGAUGUCAUUUAUAAAAAGGCACGCUGUAGCGCCGUUCAUGUUUAUACGCGGUUAGCGACCUGUUAACUACACUAGCGUUGAUGCUAGUUAGCUAGCUAAUUAGGAAGUGGUUAGUGUUAAUUAUGUAGAUAUUAGCUUGCUGUUACUAUUAGCUGUUUGUUCUCUUCUUGAAAUUGCUGAUCCGUAAUCCCUUCAGCUGAACAUCGCAGUAAUGCUAAAGAAGGAUUUCUUUUUAGCGAGUGAGACGAGUGAGAGUUUAAACGCUUCGGGAAUACGUUAUUGUGGACUUCACACGUAGCACGCGGCGUGUUCGGGAUGUGCCGGAGGUCUGAGCAGAAAAACAGCGAAGGAUUUAAUAACACAGAACAGACUCUGUCCAUCUGGGGGAGUUCAGGGGGGGUCAUUAAUCCGUCUCUCGCUGUGCAGCAUGAGGCAUAGCUCAAACGGACAGUAGACAAAAGGAGCUGUCUCACUCCCUCUCGCUUCUCUUUCUUUCAUCUACGUCGAAAAGGAUUAGCUUGUUUUUAGGAAUUCGCUUUAUUUCACAUCUUUACGAGCGUCCAAAUCUAACACGAGGCGGCUUAUUCAAACCGCGAACGAGAUUAGUCCAGGAUAGUCCCAACCGAACGUGCUGUAAAUACGUGAACGGGCCUGAUAAUGCACCUCAGCGGCUUUAUCUGUAACAAUCAGGAGUAAUGGAAGCUAAAUGCCAAGCCGAGUCCAGUUUACAACCACUUUAUGUCUCUGGUUAAAGGAAAACUCCACUCUGAAACAUGUUAAAUACGUUUGCAUUGAAAGGUCUGAGAUGUGAUUAGUCCAUCUGGAGGUCAGUGGUCUAUUUUCGCUGUUCCUGCGAGAGGUUUUGUGUGGCACCGAUGUCACGUCGUUAUUGCUAGCGCAGUUCCAGUGGAGGCGAUAAUCGUUCGAUUUUGUUUUUAGCUCUGUUUGUUUCUUACUCGCUACAAACGUGAAUUUAUAUUGAUAAGAAUUCCAGCGUAGAAGAAGUGGAGAUGCUGGCACAAAGGCUGGAUUCAAAGACCCGGAAUGCAAUGCGGUCGCACGCGUUACGGCUCGGCUAGUCAGCGAGCGACGAGGUGACGAGCGAUGGCGAUGGCGUCGAAGGCCGUAUUAGCCUGAGCGUUGGAAGCUGACCGGUUUGAGCAGAGUGCACAGACGAUGAGGAGGUGAAAAUGCCGGACAGGCUAAAACGCUAAAGCGCCGCCGCAUCGCUCUCUUCAGCUG